Molecule: long non-coding RNA, 1232 nt
Organism: Meriones unguiculatus (Mongolian gerbil)
Lineage: Eukaryota; Metazoa; Chordata; Mammalia; Rodentia; Muridae
Exons: 3
Source: RefSeq, a predicted model, not a curated record
AGCCCCACCCAGCCUCAGGCAGCCAAUUCUGUCCUCGGCACAUUCCCCACCCCUCACCCCCACAGUACGCUGUCCUCUGCCACCAACUCAAAGUACCAUUAGUCAAGUGAGUACCGAUUAGUGUUGGUGAGAGUGUACCAUCUGGAUGAGUCACUGACAUCUCCUCUGCCACACGCCCCCAUCCUCCAUGUUAGAUAGAAGGGCGCCUGCUAUUUCCUUCCCUCGGACAACCUUCAGUACAUUCUUCAGGAAUGCUGCUCUCUUCAUUUGAAAUAGCCAACUGCUGGUUUAUGUCUUGUGAUCAUACAUCAAAAUGACUUGUCAAAUCAGGAAAAUGAAGUGUGUCUCAACAGUGGAUGAUUAAAAUUGGAAGCUUAAGAAACUGUUCUGGAGUAUGCUCCCAGUGGAAAAGGGAGAGGGGGAAGACAAAUAAGAUUUAAAACCCAAAUUUAUGGAUGCUUCUGGUCAUCAGUGGAACUGAGAUGCACCCUGGGCACCAGGGAGCUUAAAGAUCACUCCAAAUAAGCUCAGCUGGCAGAGCACUGCCUAGCAUGCAUGAUGUCUGGCCCCACAUAUAUCAGACAGAGCAUAUGCCUGUAAUUCCAGCACUCUGGGAGGGAGGAAGGCAGAUCAGAAGUUCAAGCUCAUCAUAGGCAACAAAGCAAAUUCAAAGGUCGUCUGGGCUAGAUAAAAAAGAAAGAAAGAGAAAGAAAGAAAGAAAGAAAGAAAGAAAGAAAGAAAGAAAGAAAGAAAGAAAGGAAAGAAAGAAAGAAAGAAAGAAAGAAAGAAAGAAAGAAAGGAAAGAAAGAGAAAGAAAGAAGAAAGAAAGAAAGAAGAAAAGAAAGCCAACAACAACAACAAACCAUGAAAAGCAACAACAGAAGGGGGAAAGGGUAAAAGAGUUCUUUUUCAGAACUAAAGAGACAUUUGUAAACUGAGGGUGGUGCACACAUCUUUAAUCCCAGCACUCAGGAGUUAGCAGCAGGCUGGUCUCUAUGAAUUUGAGGUGGGUCUACGGAGUGAGUUCCAGGACAGCCAGGGCUACAGAGAAACCCUGUUGGGGUGGGGUAGGGGAGUUGGGGGCAGAACAAAAACAAAUGAAAACAAAAACCACCAAAUGAAUCCCAGUACUAGAGAAGCCAAAGCAGGGUGCUGAGUUUGAAGCUGGCUUGGGCUGUACAGUGAAACCCCAUUUUAAAAUACUAAACAAAUAAAGUAUCACCAGAAAGUGA